UCCCUGUUAGCUCAGUUGGUAUAGCAUCCACCUGCAAUGAGGGAGACUUGGGUUCGAUCCCUGGGUUGGGAA
RNAcentral lists this transfer RNA (72 nucleotides) under Ovis aries (sheep). It matches the Rfam family "tRNA". Rfam says of the family: Transfer RNA (tRNA) molecules are approximately 80 nucleotides in length. Their secondary structure includes four short double-helical elements and three loops (D, anti-codon, and T loops). The record is from Rfam by way of RNAcentral. Lineage: Eukaryota; Metazoa; Chordata; Mammalia; Artiodactyla; Bovidae.